Molecule: ribosomal RNA, 440 nt
Filed under: uncultured bacterium
Lineage: Bacteria
Description: partial 16S ribosomal RNA
Rfam family: Bacterial small subunit ribosomal RNA
Source: RNAcentral
CCUACGGGUGGCAGCAGUAGGGAAUAUUGCUCAAUGGGGGAAACCCUGAAGCAGCAACGCCGCGUGGAGGAUGAAGGUUUUCGGAUUGUAAACUCCUUUUGUUAGAGAAGAUAAUGACGGUAUCUAACGAAUAAGCACCGGCUAACUCCGUGCCAGCAGCCGCGGUAAUACGGAGGGUGCAAGCGUUACUCGGACUCACUGGGCGUAAAGAGCGCGUAGGCGGGAUAGCAAGUCAGAGUUAAAAUCCCAUGGCUUAACCAUAGAACUGCAUUUGAAACUGUUAUUCUUGAGUAUGGGAGAGGUAGGUGGAAUUUUUGGUGUAGCGGUAAAAUCCGUAGAGAUCAAGAGGAAUACUCAUUGCGAAGGCGACUUGCUAGAACAUAACUGACGCUGAUGCGCGAAAGCGUGGGUAGCAAACAGGAUUAGAUACCCUAGUAGUC